CUACUGUUGAAGAGCCCUAAACUGGGACGAAACAGCUGUCCAGUAG
Molecule: non-coding RNA, 46 nt
Filed under: Trichobilharzia regenti
Lineage: Eukaryota; Metazoa; Platyhelminthes; Trematoda; Strigeidida; Schistosomatidae
Source: RNAcentral